ACCCGCUGAAUUUAAGCAUAUAAGUAAGCGGAGGAUAAGAAACUAAAUAGGAUUCCCUCAGUAAUGGCGAAUGAACAGGGAUGAGCUCAGUAUGGAAAUUGGGGCCUGUGGCCUUGAAUUGUAGUCUGGAGAUGUACCACCAACUGGGGCGCAGAUGUAAGCCUCUUGGAAAAGAGCAUCAAUGAGGGUGAGAGUCCCGCAUGGCAUCUGCAGUCCCCAGUGCACGGUGUACCUUCUAAGAGUCACGUUCCUCGGGAUUGGAGCGCAAAUUGGGUGGUAAAUUUCAUCUAAAGCUAAAUAUAGUUUCGAGACCGAUAGCAAACAAGUACCAUGAGGGAAAGGUGAAAAGGACUUUGAAAAGAGAGUUAAAAGUGCCUGAAAUUGCUGAAAGGGAAGCGAAUGGAACCAGCGAAACUUGGCAAGAUUGCUGUGUGUCAAUGUGAUUGCUUGCUGCUGCAACGUAAGUGUGGUAGUAAGUCUUGAGCAGGACAUGCUCGGUGUUUCUUGCCUUGUGUGUCACCUGUGGUUCUUGAUUGGGGAAAACUUCAGGGACAUGGUAGCCUGCUCACGGGUGGGUGAACGUGUCUGCUGGAACUCAUUCGUGGACUGCUUGGGUGACUAAAUGGGUUUCAUCCCAACACGUCUUGAAACACGGACCAAGG
RNAcentral lists this non-coding RNA (662 nucleotides) under Scrippsiella donghaiensis. Its description in RNAcentral is "partial large subunit ribosomal RNA". It matches the Rfam family "Eukaryotic large subunit ribosomal RNA", at positions 23 to 671 of the family's 3401-position model. The record is from RNAcentral. Lineage: Eukaryota; Dinophyceae; Peridiniales; Peridiniaceae.